RNAcentral lists this ribosomal RNA (195 nucleotides) under Alexandrium tamarense. RNAcentral's name for it is "partial 28S ribosomal RNA". Lineage: Eukaryota; Dinophyceae; Gonyaulacales; Pyrocystaceae. The record is from RNAcentral.
UAAGCGUGAAGUGAAGCACAUAAACCUGCUGAAUUUAAGCAUAUAAGUAAGUGGUGGAAAUUAAACCAAUCUCACGGUCAUCACGGAACGCGCGAACGACGACUCUGAUACGCUAUUUUAAAGUAAUUCCAUGAUAAUAUGCUUCCUAGAGCUCAGUGCCUCGUAAUGCGACCAUGUAUUCGAUACUCAAUGGAU